AGGCUGAAGACUUUUGCCGGAUUUAGCUGAGAGGUGGUGCAUGGCCGUCGUCAGUUUCGUACUGUGAAGCAUCCUGUUAAGUCAGGCAGCGAGCGAGACCCACGCCCACAGUUGCCAGCGUACUCUCUGGAGUGACGGGUACACUGUGGGACCGCCGCUGCUAAAGCGGAGGAAGGAAUGGGCAACGGUAGGUCAGUAUGCCCCGAAUAUCCCGGGCUACACGCGAGCUACAAUGGUUGGUACAAUGGGUAUCUACCCCGAAAGGGGACGGGAAUCUCCUAAAACCAAUCUUAGUUCGGAUUGAGGGCUGCAACUCGCCCUCAUGAAGCUGGAAUCCGUAGUAAUCGCGUUUCAACAGAACGCGGUGAAUACGUCCCUGCUCCUU
This 385-nucleotide ribosomal RNA is filed under the name uncultured Methanosaeta sp. Its description in RNAcentral is "bacterial SSU rRNA". It matches the Rfam family "Archaeal small subunit ribosomal RNA", at positions 956 to 1338 of the family's 1478-position model. The record is from RNAcentral. Lineage: Archaea; Methanobacteriati; Methanobacteriota; Methanomicrobia; Methanotrichales; Methanotrichaceae.